RNAcentral lists this transfer RNA (72 nucleotides) under Pangasianodon gigas (Mekong giant catfish). Its description in RNAcentral is "tRNA-Glu". It matches the Rfam family "tRNA". Rfam says of the family: Transfer RNA (tRNA) molecules are approximately 80 nucleotides in length. Their secondary structure includes four short double-helical elements and three loops (D, anti-codon, and T loops). Further hydrogen bonds mediate the characteristic L-shaped molecular structure. tRNAs have two regions of fundamental functional importance: the anti-codon, which is responsible for specific mRNA codon recognition, and the 3' end, to which the tRNAs corresponding amino acid is attached (by aminoacyl-tRNA synthetases). tRNAs cope with the degeneracy of the genetic code in two manners: having more than one tRNA (with a specific anti-codon) for a particular amino acid; and 'wobble' base-pairing, i.e. permitting non-standard base-pairing at the 3rd anti-codon position. The record is from RNAcentral. Lineage: Eukaryota; Metazoa; Chordata; Actinopteri; Siluriformes; Pangasiidae.
UCGCUGGAGGACUAGUGGUUAGGACACAGAGCUCUCACCUCUGCGGCCCGGGUUCGAUUCCUGGCCAGGGAA